RNAcentral lists this ribosomal RNA (465 nucleotides) under Vreelandella stevensii. Its description in RNAcentral is "partial 16S ribosomal RNA". It matches the Rfam family "Bacterial small subunit ribosomal RNA", at positions 338 to 795 of the family's 1533-position model. Lineage: Bacteria; Pseudomonadati; Pseudomonadota; Gammaproteobacteria; Oceanospirillales; Halomonadaceae. The record is from RNAcentral.
CCUACGGGGGGCUGCAGUGGGGAAUAUUGGACAAUGGGGGGAACCCUGAUCCAGCCAUGCCGCGUGUGUGAAGAAGGCCCUCGGGUUGUAAAGCACUUUCAGUGAGGAAGAACGCCUGGUGGUUAAUACCCAUCAGGAAAGACAUCACUCACAGAAGAAGCACCGGCUAACUCCGUGCCAGCAGCCGCGGUAAUACGGAGGGUGCGAGCGUUAAUCGGAAUUACUGGGCGUAAAGCGCGCGUAGGUGGCUUGAUAAGCCGGUUGUGAAAGCCCCGGGCUCAACCUGGGAACGGCAUCCGGAACUGUCAAGCUAGAGUGCAGGAGAGGAAGGUAGAAUUCCCGGUGUAGCGGUGAAAUGCGUAGAGAUCGGGAGGAAUACCAGUGGCGAAGGCGGCCUUCUGGACUGACACUGACACUGAGGUGCGAAAGCGUGGGUAGCAAACAGGAUUAGAUACUCUUGUAGUC